AACGAACGCUGGCGGCAUGCCUAACACAUGCAAGUCGAACGAGACCUUCGGGUCUAGUGGCGCACGGGUGCGUAACGCGUGGGAACCUGCCCUUAGGUUCGGAAUAACUCCCCGAAAGGGGUGCUAAUACCGGAUAAUGUCUUCGGACCAAAGAUUUAUCGCCUUUGGAUGGGCCCGCGUUGGAUUAGCUAGUUGGUAGGGUAAAAGCCUACCAAGGCGACGAUCCAUAGCUGGUCUGAGAGGAUGAUCAGCCACACUGGGACUGAGACACGGCCCAGACUCCGACGGGAGGCAGCAGUGGGGAAUAUUGGACAAGGGGCGAAAGCCUGAUCCAGCAAUGCCGCGUGAGUGAUGAAGGCCGUAGGGUUGUAAAGCUCUUUUACCCGGGAUGAUAAUGACAGUACCGGGAGAAUAAGCUCCGGCUAACUCCGUG
Molecule: ribosomal RNA, 433 nt
Filed under: uncultured bacterium
Lineage: Bacteria
Description: partial 16S ribosomal RNA
Rfam family: Bacterial small subunit ribosomal RNA
Source: RNAcentral